This 2012-nucleotide long non-coding RNA is filed under the name Salmo salar (Atlantic salmon). RNAcentral's name for it is "lncRNA (ENSSSAG00000089946.1)". Lineage: Eukaryota; Metazoa; Chordata; Actinopteri; Salmoniformes; Salmonidae. The record is from RNAcentral.
CUUUGAGCCACCUGCACCCAUCCAGAACCGAACUCGACUGGAUCAGGAGUGCCAAAACAGGAGUAAACAACAGUAGAAGACAUUUAUCCUUGGCUUGAUCAACAUUUACACUAGGACUUAUGAUUUAAAAGACAGAAGAAUUUAUUUGAAAAAAUAAGUCAUUUUUUUAUAUUUAAUCCUGGUGAAUUUCUGCCACCACCGUUAAGACUUGCGCUUGGUGCUCCAGGUACCACCCACCACCUCUUGUGCAGGGAUAACAAGCUGAUUUAAUGUAUUACCUAGCCACCACCACUGCACUGUUUUAGUUCUGAUUGACUUAGAUUUUUACGUUCUCUCCGUCAUGUACUCUUUCUCGUCAGACUGGGUUGGUUUUGACCUUUCCUGCCACCUUCCUCCCUUCUCUUGCUCAAAUUGAAUCAGAGUUUGACAGCACCAAGGAGAAGAGAAUGUCUGCCACUUUAUAUUUCUGUACAAUCAGGAACUACCGUGUCCUGCCCCUGUUUGUCCAUUGGGGGGCGGUGUUGCCAUUCUUCAGAGGUUGAACUGUGCCAACAGGGUUGGAGGAUCCCAAAGGCAACAUUUUCGGACUUGGAACUGUGUGCGAUUAAUAAUACUUCAAUGGUUUAUCUAUUUUUCAUUCAAGAUCAACAAAGUCUAUAUUUUUUGGCUUACUAUUGACAAUUUUCAGUUCAGAAAGCUGCUUUUCUGGAGCCUUAAUAUGUUAUUUUCUAGUUAUUGAUGACAUGUCAAAAGAACUGCUCUUUAACUGACAGUGCUGGAGAAAUCAGGGAUAGUGUGAAGUCACAGACUCUGGACAUUUCACAGGAGGAAGUGCAAAGGCCUCUGGGAAGUAAGUAACUGAUGUGUGUCCUCCAGGAUGAUGGAGCUCUCACCAUCUGAAUCCAAAAUUGUACAAUUUUACAUCCCUCAUACCCCUCCACUUUGGUUUGUUUUGAUAAAUGACGGUUUUGUAUGUUUCAUCAUUGGGAGAUUCUGUUAACGUAUUCAAGCCAGUCUGAGAGAAAUGUAGCAUUCACCAUUUUAAAAUGAUUUUUUAAUUAUGUGAUGUAACUGCUACAUAUGAAUGAAUUGUUUGUUUGCUCUUUUUGGGAAAAUCACUUCGGUUUAUUGUCCGUUGGCCAUCAUUUUGUCUUAAUCCUUUGUUUUGUUUGACUUUUUUUGCUUCUGAAAAUGUGGUUUUGCUAUAAAUCCAGGGCUCUAUGCUGACUUCUUAUUUUUAUAUUUUUUACAAGGAUCACGUGUGUGCUUUAGUUGAAAAAUGUAGGAGCACACAAAGAAAUUAUUUAGGAGCACAAUGAAAAUAUUCUUGAAAUAACAAGCCGUUUCUUUGUUGUAAUGGUGCAAGCAUGACGGUCAUGAAUCUGCGCUCAGUGAGUUCUCUUUGGCACCAGGCGCUGCGGUACAGUGAAGUAUCAUUGCAACAGCUAUCAUCUGGGGGACUUUUCUAAGUGCACUGGUGCUCCUAAAUAACAUUUACAGGUCGCUCAGUAAAAUAUUUAAAUAGUUGCACUGUAAAGCCCUGAAAUCUAUAAUUUCCUUUGUAAUGCUAAGCUUUAACUUAGCAGCAUAUAGUGAUGGAGAAAGCCUACAAUGUAUAACCUGAAAAUAAUGUAACUGAUUUUACUAUCAAGAGUAAGAAAAAAAUAAGAACGAAAUAUGGUUUCUGUGUUUUUUGUUGUUGCUGAAAAUGUGUGUGUGCUUUUAGAAUGGAGUCCUUGAUUAAUAUAUGGAAGGAAGUCAUUGGUAUCAGGAGUUAUCUAUCCAUAAUUGAUUGGGUGUUGAACAUUGAAAGUAUCUCUCUAAUUAAUAGCCUACAAUGCGUAAUCAUGCAGGCUGGCAACAGGUUAAAGCUGGAAUCUGCAUUAGGUGAAACAGCGCCGCAUUUGCUAUUGUUUUGUUUAUGAAAGGAGGAGCGAAGCAUCCAGCAGCACCUUGAUAAAAUAUAUAUCACCAUGGACCAGAAGAGUAUGUACUAUCGUGGGUGCAAUGAU